UUUUAGCUUUAGAAUGAGCGUAGAUAAAUGAACUUCAUUAAGAUUUCUGUAAGGCAAUGAAUGGUCUGAUCAAAUUGGUCAAGCAUCAUGACUUUUGAGCACCUUAGGAUUUCUGGCAUAUGUUUUGAUGUUGUAAACAUUAGUUUGUGUUUCAUUGAGACUUUUAAUUUGUAAUUCGAUAUACUUGAACAGGUUGUUUAAUACUAGUUAACUUUUGUCGUGAGCAUGUCUAUUUGUGUGUAAUUGGAAUUAUAUUGGGAAAUAUUACUGAAAAUUCUAGAAUUUUGCAAAAAUAUUAAAAAUUUAUGUUUUUUUCUUGUCUUAUUUUUUGGUGCUAUGGAGAUGUUUUUUGGUGCUAUGUAGAUUUGUUAUUAUUUGACACCUGUUAUUUUUUGGUGGUGUGUUUGUAGAUUUAAUGGUGCUGGGACUUGUGUUUCUAUCAUCGAUUUUUUGGUGGUGUGUUUGGAGAUUUAAUGGUGCUGUUAUUGAACAGCACCAACAAAUCCUAUUAUUUGGUGGUAUAUUUGUUGGUGCUCUAUGAUACAACACAAAAUAAAGCAUAAAAUACAGAACCAAAAAAGUUAUUUUGUACUAGUGGUGAUUGCUUGCCGACGCGGGGAAGAAGAGAGAGAGAGAGUGAGGGAGCAGGAGAGAGGGAGUGUAUGAGAGAGAGGGUGUUGUGGGGUGGGGUCCAUGCCAUCUCUCAACCAAUCACACCUUUUUCCUUUUUUUUUUAAAAGUUUACCACUUCACCAAGUGUUUAAACCAUUGCCAACACUUUUCACCAAAGUUUAAACACUUUUUACUGAUUGACGUGGCACACUCUCAUUGGUUGAUUUUUUAGUUUGCCACUCCAAAAUGUUUAACCACUCCUUACACCCUAAUAUUUAUUUUUAUGAUUUUAAGUGCAAGUGCGAGUACUGCGCACCAUAACAAGUACAAGUACCGUAUCCGGUUUGUGUUUUUCCUUUCACGGACUAUAGUCUGGCACAACUUGUUGCUCGUCUUCCUGUCAUUAGUCUGUAAUCGUCUCUAUUUUAAAUGUUUAUAUGUCUUAAAUGUUUAAAUGUCGUUAAUAAAAAAACCUCCUAAUUGUCGCCUUAAAAAAAACUAAAUUAAACUAAACUGAUGUUAUAUUUCCAAAACUUACAAUUAAAUAAAAAUCUCUUUAACUCAAUCCUGAAAAAAAAUACCUGCUCUUUGAGAGCAACGGCAGCUUCCAGAAACGUCUCCGGUGAAAGUGACAAAUUAGCGGCACCAUCAACCGUCGGACAACUUAUUUUAUUGAGAAAAUCGAGCUGUUCAUAACCGCCGUCAUUGUUAUCGCUGGAAGAAGUGAAAUUUACUACGGAUGACAUGAUCUGUGUUAUGAAUACAGUUUACAGUGCUUGCUCUUCGU
Molecule: long non-coding RNA, 1399 nt
Filed under: Helianthus annuus (common sunflower)
Lineage: Eukaryota; Viridiplantae; Streptophyta; Magnoliopsida; Asterales; Asteraceae
Description: hypothetical non coding rna
Source: RNAcentral